RNAcentral lists this ribosomal RNA (780 nucleotides) under uncultured Neocallimastigales. RNAcentral describes it as "partial large subunit ribosomal RNA". It matches the Rfam family "Eukaryotic large subunit ribosomal RNA", at positions 23 to 644 of the family's 3401-position model. Lineage: Eukaryota; Fungi; Neocallimastigomycota; Neocallimastigomycetes; Neocallimastigales. The record is from RNAcentral.
AGAGAGAGACAUGCGCGCAUAUCAAUAAGCGGAGGAAAAGAAACUAACAAGGAUUCCCUUAGUAACGGCGAGUGAAGCGGGAAGAGCUCAAAUUUGAAAUCUUCAAGGUUCUACCUUGACGAAUUGUAGUUUAUAGAAGUGUUUUCUGUUAGUGGAGUGGCAAAAGUUCUUUGGAAUAGGACAUCAUAGAGGGUGAGAAUCCCGUAUUUGGUCAUUCCUCCUAGCGUUGUGAUACACUUUCAACGAGUCGGAUUGUUUGGGAAUGCAGUCCAAAAUGGGUGGUAAAUUUCAUCUAAAGCUAAAUAUUGGCGAGAGACCGAUAGCGAACAAGUACCGUGAGGGAAAGAUGAAAAGAACUUUGAAAAGAGAGUUAAACAGUACGUGAAAUUGUCAAAAGGGAAGCGUUUGACACCAGUGUUGUUUUUUCCGAAAAUCAAUUACGAAUGUUUUAUUUUUGAGGAGUUAUGACUUCAUCGGCUUGCUCCUUUCUUUACUGAAACUUUCUUAAUGCACUUUUCGGUUAACAAGUCAACAUCAAUUUCUUUUGUUGUAAAAGGGUAUGAGGAAGGUGGCUUUCUUUUCGGAGAAAGUGUUUAUAGCCUUGUGACCUCUGCAAUCGGAGAGAUUGAGGUCUGCAGCGUAGAUCCUUCGGGGUUAGAUACAGUUUGUGCUAAGUUAUAGCUUUUCAUAGACAACUUGUUGACUAUGUUUAGUCUUGUAGGCUUACUCGCUGACUGCUAUUUUACCUACGCUUAGGAUGUUGAUAGUCACAGCGUGUAC